RNAcentral lists this ribosomal RNA (897 nucleotides) under Limosilactobacillus fermentum. RNAcentral's name for it is "bacterial SSU rRNA". It matches the Rfam family "Bacterial small subunit ribosomal RNA", at positions 22 to 873 of the family's 1533-position model. Lineage: Bacteria; Bacillati; Bacillota; Bacilli; Lactobacillales; Lactobacillaceae. The record is from RNAcentral.
GCUCAGGAUGAACGCCGGCGGUGUGCCUAAUACAUGCAAGUCGAACGCGUUGGCCCAAUUGAUUGAUGGUGCUUGCACCUGAUUGAUUUUGGUCGCCAACGAGUGGCGGACGGGUGAGUAACACGUAGGUAACCUGCCCAGAAGCGGGGGACAACAUUUGGAAACAGAUGCUAAUACCGCAUAACAACGUUGUUCGCAUGAACAACGCUUAAAAGAUGGCUUCUCGCUAUCACUUCUGGAUGGACCUGCGGUGCAUUAGCUUGUUGGUGGGGUAAUGGCCUACCAAGGCGAUGAUGCAUAGCCGAGUUGAGAGACUGAUCGGCCACAAUGGGACUGAGACACGGCCCAUACUCCUACGGGAGGCAGCAGUAGGGAAUCUUCCACAAUGGGCGCAAGCCUGAUGGAGCAACACCGCGUGAGUGAAGAAGGGUUUCGGCUCGUAAAGCUCUGUUGUUAAAGAAGAACACGUAUGAGAGUAACUGUUCAUACGUUGACGGUAUUUAACCAGAAAGUCACGGCUAACUACGUGCCAGCAGCCGCGGUAAUACGUAGGUGGCAAGCGUUAUCCGGAUUUAUUGGGCGUAAAGAGAGUGCAGGCGGUUUUCUAAGUCUGAUGUGAAAGCCUUCGGCUUAACCGGAGAAGUGCAUCGGAAACUGGAUAACUUGAGUGCAGAAGAGGGUAGUGGAACUCCAUGUGUAGCGGUGGAAUGCGUAGAUAUAUGGAAGAACACCAGUGGCGAAGGCGGCUACCUGGUCUGCAACUGACGCUGAGACUCGAAAGCAUGGGUAGCGAACAGGAUUAGAUACCCUGGUAGUCCAUGCCGUAAACGAUGAGUGCUAGGUGUUGGAGGGUUUCCGCCCUUCAGUGCCGGAGCUAACGCAUUAAGCACUACCGAC